This 315-nucleotide ribosomal RNA is filed under the name uncultured microorganism. RNAcentral describes it as "bacterial SSU rRNA". It matches the Rfam family "Archaeal small subunit ribosomal RNA", at positions 330 to 645 of the family's 1478-position model. The record is from RNAcentral.
GUGCAGCAGGCGCGAAACCUCCGCAAUGCGGGAAACCGCGACGGGGUCACCCCGAGUGCCGCCCUAACGGGUGGCUGUGGCCCGGUGUAAACAGCCGGGCUUAGAAAGGGGAGGGCAAGGCUGGUGCCAGCCGCCGCGGUAAAACCAGCUCCUCGAGUGGUCGGGGUGAUUAGUUGGGCCUAAAGCGUCCGUAGCCGGCCCCGUAAGUCCUCGGUUAAAGUCCUACGGCCUAACCGUGGGACUGCCGAGGAUACUGCGGGGCUUGGGGGCGGGAGAGGCCGGGGUACUCCCGGGGUAGGGGUGAAAGUCCUGUAA